RNAcentral lists this ribosomal RNA (465 nucleotides) under Vreelandella stevensii. RNAcentral describes it as "partial 16S ribosomal RNA". It matches the Rfam family "Bacterial small subunit ribosomal RNA", at positions 338 to 795 of the family's 1533-position model. The record is from RNAcentral. Lineage: Bacteria; Pseudomonadati; Pseudomonadota; Gammaproteobacteria; Oceanospirillales; Halomonadaceae.
CCUACGGGAGGCAGCAGUGGGGAAUAUUGGACAAUGGGGGCAACCCUGAUCCAGCCAUGCCGCGUGUGUGAAGAAGGCCCUCGGGUUGUAAAGCACUUUCAGUGAGGAAGAACGCCUGGUGGUUAAUACCCAUCAGGAAAGACAUCACUCACACAAGAAGCACCGGCUAACUCCGUGCCAGCAGCCGCGGUAAUACGGAGGGUGCGAGCGUUAAUCGGAAUUACUGGGCGUAAAGCGCGCGUAGGUGGCUUGAUAAGCCGGUUGUGAAAGCCCCGGGCUCAACCUGGGAACGGCCUCCGGAACUGUGCAGCUAGGGUGCAGGAGAGGAAGGUGGAAUUCCCGGUGUAGCGGUGAAAUGCGUAGAGAUCGGGAGGAAUACCAGUGGCGAAGGCGGCCUUCUGGACUGACACUGACACUGAGGUGCGAAAGCGUGGGUAGCAAACAGGAUUAGAUACCCCGGUAGUC